GCGUUUACCUUCAAUUCGGGUAUGUUAGAGAAUUCUACAACUCAAGUUGGGCUGCACUUGUGCACACGUUUGCGUGACUGCUGCGCCACUUUUUCUCUCGCUGUCAACCCUAUACAACUAGCGCUCAUGGUGGUGGAAGGGCAUAAACUCUUUGCACUUGUGUGAACGGUUGCACUUGUUCGAAAUUUUGUUCAUUUUGUUAUUGUUCUGGUCUACAUUGUAUAAAACAUUGUCAUUAAUUUACCGGUCAUUACUCAUUACGCCAUUGAUAAAACCUAUUUGUGUAACAGAAUGGGUAAAGUUGUUCCAAAAAAAUUAUGGGGCAGUUAAUAAAGUAAAAAUUUCCGCAGAGAAAAAGGCAGCUUUAUCAGAGCAAAAGAAGGUUGAAAGAUUAAAACGUAAAAGUGAAAAACGUCGAAUGCUCAGUAACCCACUCAAUCUUCCAUUACGAUCUCUGUAUGGGGACUUCAAGGAUAAUGAACAAGACAAUGAUGACAAAAAACCAAUCCAAAGACCAUCAAAAAAGCAUGAAGGAAAUGGCAUGAAGGAAAUGGAAGUUGAAGCCAGUGCUGAACUUGAGGCAGCCCAAUCAUCCAGGAAUGUUUUCUCUUGUGAAAAGAAAAAGACAGCUGAUGUAGAAUUUACAAAGGCUGACAACAUGUGGGAAGAGAGACAAGAAGAGGUUUAUGUGACAGUUCUAACAUCACAUGCCUCAUCUGGCCAUGAACGGAUAUGUGAUGCUGUUGGAUGUAAGAAUAUGCUCAAAGACCAUCACAUACGUUGUGAGGAUUGCAGACAUCAUUAUUGCUGGAGCUGUGACAACUUGAUUCAUUAUCAAUCACCUUUUCACAAAAGAAUUUUCUACAAAAAUGAGAACUCAAGAGUGUUGGACUUGAAAGUAUUUAUUAACUCAAAGGGGUCUCUCUAUCAGCUAGCGGUUCCUGUGCCGGUAUUCAAACCACCAGCAUGUAAAGGAUGUCUUCCAUGAACACAAGUUUCGCUUGUUGCAGGACGACAAUUUUCAUGUGUCAUUACAUCGAAUGGAAGAUUUGAUUUAAAUUCCGCCGCUUUCUACUGUGAAAAAUGCAAAAUCACCGGAGAAGCCGAAAUGGCUGACUACAUCAUCUCCGGUUUUUGGCCCCCUGUUCCCGACAAAAUUACUUUUCUGGUGUGUUCUAAUCUCUUAACUAUGUGGUACCAUUUAAAACUGCUUACACCAGGUACUUCCGAGCGAAAGUUCCUUGAAUGUUUAUCAGCAAUGUCAACGGAAGGAUCAAGGUGUCCAACAGUUAAUGGCCCCAUGUUUGCCAAAGCCAGCCAGGCCCAUGAGUUUACGAGGCAUUUGGUUGACACACGCGUUAAGAACAUGGAUAAACUUUUGUGUCGAGUUUGUGUUGAUUUAGAUACCGGGGAGCCUGCCCUUCUCUCUGGCCAUCCUGAUGGAAAUCACAAGCUUACCAGGACUAACCGCAAAAACGAGCGCCCUGCUAGGGCCUGGUACGGGAAUGAGGUCAUUCCUCAGAGGGAAGAAUUCCAGCUACUAAAAGAGUCUAUUGACAAAGUGAAACCCCAGUCCAAGAAAUCAAUUGGUUCGCGUCAACUCUGUGGAAAUUCGGAAUUCCAAGCUUCAAAAGAGGUGUCAAUGCGCUACUAAAGUAAUAAUUUUGCAAAGGUAGCAAAACUAGAGCUCCGUCCCACCUUACGGAUCUACAGAACGAACUGGAAGCCAUACAUUUUGAAGUUAUUACCGUGCACGAUUGCAUUAGCAGCGUUGCAAAUUCUUGUAAAUGGAGAACAAAAAUGAGAAGGCGCGUGACCGUGCUUAAAACUAAAGCUGCCAAAGUAAUCAACGAAAUUAAUAAUAUUUCGACUGAGUUCAAAGUCACGGCGGAACAUUUCUCCGAAGGAGUUUUCCCAUUGAACGAAGCCAAUCAACUCUCCUUUAAGGAAAACUUUAAAAUUGUGGAUUGCUGGAUGCUGCGAAAGCGAAAUGCGGAACAAAUUGUGCAGUC
This is a long non-coding RNA of Daphnia pulex (common water flea), 2012 nucleotides long. RefSeq lists it as uncharacterized. The record is from RefSeq and is a predicted model, not a curated record. Lineage: Eukaryota; Metazoa; Arthropoda; Branchiopoda; Diplostraca; Daphniidae. The transcript is spliced from 9 exons.